This is a non-coding RNA of Macaca mulatta (Rhesus monkey), 537 nucleotides long. NCBI's taxonomy places the organism in Eukaryota, Metazoa, Chordata, Mammalia, Primates, Cercopithecidae. The record is from RefSeq and is a predicted model, not a curated record.
CAUCUCACAAAUAGUCCAAGGAUACAAAACUAGUUAGUGAUAAAGCUUGUACCUAAACCCAGAUCUUCUGAUUCUAAAGUCCCUGCAGAUUAAAAUGAGAAGGUAAAACAUGAGGCCCUGGAGUUCUGAAACUGACAAGGCCAUGGUCCCUUCACUCGCAGAGUUCUAGAGUCUGGAAGACAGUUCAACUGCGAAUCAACUGUAAUCCCAGCUGUUAAUGGGUCACCAAUGAUGUACACAUCUGGGCUGCUUCAGAGGGCGCCUAGCCCACAGGGGCAGCACCGUGACUGGUUAUGCUUCCUUCCUUUGUUCACCCAACAAACGCUGACUCAAACACCUACUAAGAGCCAGGCUGAGGAUCUGAAGAAUUAGGACAAGACACACAGGCAUAGUUUAAACAUCGUCACAGCAGAUGAUGCCUCAGAAAGUGCAUUUGAGAACGUGAGACAGAAGACUCAUCUGUGUCCGUGGUCCACAUAAAGAAGAAAAUUCAGAGCCCUCUGAACCAACCGAAUGCAAUAAACACCUUCAAAACUA